GGAGAGAGAACGCGGCGGCGGCGCGAGAACGCGCGCGCGCCUUUUUGCGCGGCUGUUGGAGAUGCUCUAAGGGAAAGGCAUGCACGCUGCUGCUGCGUCCCUUACCUUGCUUUAUCUACUACUUUAACUAGGAAAGAACAUGCGCUGCUGCUGCUGCGUAGCCAUCUGAAGACAGGAGUGACACCCAGAUGGAAGCCCGCCAGGUGGACAACUUUCGUCCAAGCCUCUUGAUGAUCGGCAGCAAACUCGUCGUGGAGGCCUUGUGGGCGGGGAGAUGAAGCCCAUGUUUGUGUGAAGCCAGGAGGCCACACCGAAGACAUGAAGAAGUGCAGGAGGCCACACCGAAGACAUGAAGAAGUGCACGCACGGUGGCAAUGUCGUGGCGGUCCGGGUGGCAGAAGAUGACUACGUCGUCCGUGUAUAGGGAUAUGGUCGAGGUUGCAUGGCGCCGGGUGGCAGAAGAUGACUACGUCGUCCGUGUAUAGGGAUAUGGUCGAGGUUGCAUGGCGCGUAGUGAGGCGCUGGAGAAGGCUGAGGUCCAUCGCUCGUAGAAGCAUGGAGUUAAGCACAAUAUCGAGCUUGAGGAGCAUGCGCGGCACCUUGAGAUUGUGCAGGAGGCGAGCUGUUUGUUGCACCAAGAGGAAGUUGUCGUGGAUGCAACGCCCCGCAAUGAAUGUGCUUUGUUUAGUGGACACCAUGGAUCCCAAUCAUGGCGCGAACCUAUUUGAAUAUCAAAUAUACUAGAUGGUCAUUAGAUGUUCCAUUUUCCAUGUAAUGUUCUCUAUGUUACUUAUCUAGCUGGAUAUAGGCAAAACUUUUACUGGAUGGCGUGUCAUUUAUUGUCUAAUCAGUUGAAUUUAUGUAACAUAUGUUGGUCA
This is a long non-coding RNA of Hordeum vulgare subsp. vulgare (domesticated barley), 878 nucleotides long. RefSeq lists it as uncharacterized. The record is from RefSeq and is a predicted model, not a curated record. The transcript has 2 exons. Lineage: Eukaryota; Viridiplantae; Streptophyta; Magnoliopsida; Poales; Poaceae.